Molecule: long non-coding RNA, 1730 nt
Organism: Homo sapiens (human)
Lineage: Eukaryota; Metazoa; Chordata; Mammalia; Primates; Hominidae
Gene: MIR9-1HG
Product: MIR9-1 host gene
Source: Ensembl
GAGGCAGUCCAGCCGCAGGGGCCACCCGAACAGUCUCUCCUCCUCACAGAAGCCUGGAGCUGGGCAUCCAAGAAGAAGCAGCCUCAUUUGUUUUCUGGUGUCAUCGUAGGUGGCCACCUAUGGCUUUUGGGCUUCUCACCUGGGGCGGGUGGGUUCUGCACCACCCUCCCACCCUCCUUCCUCCGUGUGGACGAUAGAGCCACAUCCAGCACCACGGACAGCUCCCGGGCGAUCCCAUGGGAGUAGAAGAGGUGUGAGCAGGUUGCCCAGCUGGUUAGCGGAAAUGCCAAGAUCCAGGCUCCUGAAUUUCAGCCUGGCCCUUUCUAUCUGUCUGAUACCUCCUUUACGAGUCUCUCUGCCUGCGUUGUGUGGAGCGGGCCUGCUGCUGGUUGGGGGAGUUUGCAGGUUGCCCCUAUGCAAAAAAGGACAGGAUGCAUGACUGGCAUGUAAGGUGUUCAGGAAAACCAGGAAAAGGUGGAACAGACUGCUACCUCUGUCUGAAGUGGUUUGGAGGGAAGGCCUCAGGGACAGGGCAUACCUAGCAGUAGCUGGCAAGCCCAUGGGAGAAAAGGCAAGGGGGCAACCAUCUGCCAGGGCACAGAGGCCAGGGGAUGGCCACAAGGAGUCUCCAGAGGCCAGUGGGAGUCAUGCAAACUGGAACGGGGCCUGGGAAAGGCCCUUCUGUGUGCCCAGGCCUGCCUCCCCAACACCGUGAGCCUAGAAACAAAGGGGCCAUUCUCUCUAGGAUUUGAUGCUGCCAUCUCCGGCUGGCAGUGCCAGGUGGUGGGGGCAUCGGGGGUGUCAAUCCAUUAUCCCCCCCAACUCCUAGGUCCUCUGAGGCUGGAUGUUGGGGAGGUGGGUGUUCUAUGCUAUGUUGCUAUGGCAACCGCCCCCCCACCCCCAAAGUACAAAGAGAGGCAGCUUUCACCCCUACCCCCAGGAAGAACCUGGGUCUGGCUGGGAAUCUUCCCUUGAGAAUCCUCCUUUCUGAUGCACAAGCCAUGGCAUGCAUAAGCGUCACCCUCUUUUCAGCACUGGAAGCUGAGGGUUUUGACAGCGGCAGGCCACAUAGGCAAGGAAGCUGGUGCAUGCAGUGUCUCUGGGCAAGGUUAUGCAACCUUCAUCUCCUCGUCCUCCAGGCAGCACAAGCCAUUGUGGAAUCUCCACCAGGUGUACAGAACGGUGCCUCUGCGUCCUGCCACUCAGGACCUCUCAAGUCCCCGAUGUGAUGGCUCCUCAGCAUGAUCAGGAGUGAGCGUAAUUCAGACCUAUUUAGAUCCGUCAGCCCACGGACCAGGGGGACCUUGAGCAGGACAGUCUUUUGUCUCCAAGCAGUCAUUCCCUGUUAUACAAGCAAGAGUCAGGAGGAGGAAUGGUUUUGGCAUCAUCCCCCACAGACAGCAAUGGGGCCUUUAGGCCUGGAAGGAAGGACCAGGCUGCGGCUGGCAUAUGGAGGUUGAGCCCUGGGCACGGGGCAUCAGCUUCACCCGGCUGGGGAUGCCUUCUGCUGGGUUUGUCCAUCUGGCACCAGCUGGCUUCCCAGCACCGCCCCCACAACCAACCAGACUCCUCCUUCUGCUGUUGCCAUGGCAAUUGGCUGCCAUAUUGUACCUCAGAGCACUAGCUCCUAUCUGGAUUUUCCCGCGGGGUUCCUAGAGGGUGGGAGAUGGGUCUCCAGGGAUUUAUCCCUUUCCCCUGAUAUCUAUCCAAUAAAAAUUCAUAAUAACAUA